Molecule: ribosomal RNA, 269 nt
Filed under: uncultured prokaryote
Description: partial 16S ribosomal RNA
Rfam family: Bacterial small subunit ribosomal RNA
Source: RNAcentral
UACGUAGGGAGCAAGCGUUACUCGGAAUCACUGGGCAUAAAGGGCGUGUAGGCGGGUGCGUAAGUCCGGUGUGAAUGCCCUCGGCUCAACCGAGGAAUGCCAUUGGAAACUGCGUGCCUUGAGUGCGGGAAGGGAGAGUGGAACUCUUGGUGGAGCGGUGAAAUGCGUAGAUAUCAAGAGGAACGCCAGUGGCGAAAGCGACUCUCUGGCCCGUUACUGACGCUGAGGCGCGAAAGCCAGGGGAGCGAACGGGAUUAGAUACCCCCGUA